This 305-nucleotide ribosomal RNA is filed under the name uncultured bacterium. RNAcentral describes it as "bacterial SSU rRNA". It matches the Rfam family "Bacterial small subunit ribosomal RNA", at positions 337 to 639 of the family's 1533-position model. The record is from RNAcentral.
ACCUACGGGGGGCAGCAGUGAGGAAUAUUGGUCAAUGGCCGAGAGGCUGAACCAGCCAAGUCGCGUGAGGGAAGAAUGUCCUAUGGAUUGUAAACCUCUUUUGUCAGGGAGCAAAGUCACCCACGUGUGGGUGUUGGAGAGUACCUGAAGAAAAAGCAUCGGCUAACUCCGUGCCAGCAGCCGCGGUAAUACGGAGGAUGCGAGCGUUAUCCGGAUUUACUGGGUGUAAAGGGAGCGUAGACGGCGAUGCAAGUCUGAAGGGAAAGGCGGGGGCCCAACCCCCGGACGGCUUUGGACACUGUAUG